RNAcentral lists this long non-coding RNA (242 nucleotides) under Lathyrus oleraceus (garden pea). RNAcentral describes it as "Pisum sativum (pea) long non-coding RNA (PSAT_LNC017076)". The record is from RNAcentral. Lineage: Eukaryota; Viridiplantae; Streptophyta; Magnoliopsida; Fabales; Fabaceae.
GGGAGAAUAGGAUUCAUUUGAUCAUUUGACAAAAAUAGAGAAAGGAAGAGGAAAAGUAAGGAGAAGAGGGGAAGAACAAGAGAGAAGCUAGGGUUUCCAGAAAUUUGAAGAGGUAAGGGGGGAAUCCUUAUUAUUAUGGGUUAGUAUGAUCGGGUCAAUGGAUAGAUGCAUGUUUAGGUUAAAAUCCCUAAUUUUGUAUGGUUGUUUGAAAUUGUUAGGUUUUGAUGAGUAUUCGAUUUGUG